RNAcentral lists this ribosomal RNA (542 nucleotides) under Penicillium sp. 904I. RNAcentral describes it as "eukaryotic LSU rRNA". The stretch from base 179 to 331 matches the Rfam family "5.8S ribosomal RNA". The record is from RNAcentral. Lineage: Eukaryota; Fungi; Ascomycota; Eurotiomycetes; Eurotiales; Aspergillaceae.
UACCGAGUGAGGGCCCUCUGGGUCCAACCUCCCACCCGUGUUUAUUUUACCUUGUUGCUUCGGCGGGCCCGCCUUAACUGGCCGCCGGGGGGCUCACGCCCCCGGGCCCGCGCCCGCCGAAGACACCCUCGAACUCUGUCUGAAGAUUGAAGUCUGAGUGAAAAUAUAAAUUAUUUAAAACUUUCAACAACGGAUCUCUUGGUUCCGGCAUCGAUGAAGAACGCAGCGAAAUGCGAUACGUAAUGUGAAUUGCAAAUUCAGUGAAUCAUCGAGUCUUUGAACGCACAUUGCGCCCCCUGGUAUUCCGGGGGGCAUGCCUGUCCGAGCGUCAUUGCUGCCCUCAAGCCCGGCUUGUGUGUUGGGCCCCGUCCUCCGAUCUCCGGGGGACGGGCCCGAAAGGCAGCGGCGGCACCGCGUCCGGUCCUCGAGCGUAUGGGGCUUUGUCACCCGCUCUGUAGGCCCGGCCGGCGCUUGCCGAUCAACCCAAAUUUUUAUCCAGGUUGACCUCGGAUCAGGUAGGGAUACCCGCUGAACUUAAGCAU